This 796-nucleotide ribosomal RNA is filed under the name Siminovitchia fortis. RNAcentral describes it as "bacterial SSU rRNA". It matches the Rfam family "Bacterial small subunit ribosomal RNA", at positions 38 to 819 of the family's 1533-position model. The record is from RNAcentral. Lineage: Bacteria; Bacillati; Bacillota; Bacilli; Caryophanales; Bacillaceae.
GGCGGCGUGCUUAAUACAUGCAAGUCGAGCGGAUGAAAGGGAGCUUGCUCCCUGGAUUCAGCGGCGGACGGGUGAGUAACACGUGGGCAACCUGCCUGUAAGACUGGGAUAACUCCGGGAAACCGGGGCUAAUACCGGAUAACUUCUUUUCUCGCAUGGGGAGAGGUUGAAAGACGGUUUUGCUGUCACUUACAGAUGGGCCCGCGGCGCAUUAGCUAGUUGGUGGGGUAACGGCCUACCAAGGCGACGAUGCGUAGCCGACCUGAGAGGGUGAUCGGCCACACUGGGACUGAGACACGGCCCAGACUCCUACGGGAGGCAGCAGUAGGGAAUCUUCCGCAAUGGACGAAAGUCUGACGGAGCAACGCCGCGUGAGUGAUGAAGGCCUUCGGGUCGUAAAACUCUGUUAUCAGGGAAGAAUAAGCAUUGGUUAACUGCCAGUGCCUUGACGGUACCUGACCAGAAAGCCACGGCUAACUACGUGCCAGCAGCCGCGGUAAUACGUAGGUGGCAAGCGUUGUCCGGAAUUAUUGGGCGUAAAGCGCGCGCAGGCGGCUUCUUAAGUCUGAUGUGAAAGCCCACGGCUCAACCGUGGAGGGUCAUUGGAAACUGGGAGGCUUGAGUGCAGAAGAGAAGAGCGGAAUUCCACGUGUAGCGGUGAAAUGCGUAGAGAUGUGGAGGAACACCAGUGGCGAAGGCGGCUCUUUGGUCUGUAACUGACGCUGAGGCGCGAAAGCGUGGGGAGAGAACAGGAUUAGAUACCCUGGUAUUCCACGCCGUAAACGAUGAGUGCUAA